UACGGGGGGCGCAAGCGUUGUUCGGAUUUACUGGGCGUAAAGGGCGCGUAGGCGGCUGUGCAAGUCAGUUGUGAAAUCUCCGGGCUUAACUCGGAACGGUCAACUGAUACUGCUCGGCUAGAGUGCGGAAGGGGCAACUGGAAUUCUUGGUGUAGCGGUGAAAUGCGUAGAUAUCAAGAGGAACACCUGCGGCGAAGGCGGGUUGCUGGGCCGACACUGACGCUGAUGCGCGAAAGCCAGGGGAGCGAACGGG
Molecule: ribosomal RNA, 253 nt
Filed under: uncultured bacterium
Lineage: Bacteria
Description: partial 16S ribosomal RNA
Rfam family: Bacterial small subunit ribosomal RNA
Source: RNAcentral